Molecule: long non-coding RNA, 1073 nt
Filed under: Anser brachyrhynchus (Pink-footed goose)
Lineage: Eukaryota; Metazoa; Chordata; Aves; Anseriformes; Anatidae
Description: lncRNA (ENSABRG00000001013.1)
Source: RNAcentral
CUGUUGUAGCAGCAUAUCACCUUGCUGUGGCAGCAUUUUAAGCAUUUAUUGAUGAUGCAUUUUAUAACAUGUCUCACAAUAAGUUAUUAAAGGAUGUAGUGGCACCAACUAAUCAUUUCAUAAACAUGAAUAAACCAUUUAUACAGGGCACCUUAAUUUAAAGUGCUUGUAGAAACUUGCAUAAAAUGUUUUGAACAGCUGACAUGCAGUAUUGGUUCUUCUUCUAGUGCCAAAGUGGUGUCACGUCUUGGUAAUAAGUAAGAGUCUUCUGUGGAGCUGGAGCGUUAUUGCUUCCAGUGAUAGAGCUUGGAACUGCACAAUUCCAAACACAAAAUGCUGGAAAUUGCUUUCAAAAGAGAAUAUGAGGAUUUCCUUUCUUUUCGUCUCUCCUCCAAUUCCAAUACCCACCAUACCCUCAAUUUCCAAGACUUUAAGAGCCUGUCUUCUCAAGAAUCAGAGCUGAAUGGCCAGAAAUGAGCCAGCCUGUAUUUCUUAGGAGAAGGCAAUCUGACCUUCAGUUAAAGCAGUGUAACUUGGUAUGAAGACAUGGCCUUAAACUUCCUACGGCCCAGUAUCUCCAUGCCAACGACAGACAUGAUCCAAGUCUGUUGCAAUCUGAGGGAAACUCCUGCUGGCUUCAGUGAUUCAAGCCCAGUGGCUUUUCUGGGUCCUUCUAUUUAUACAAUGUUAAUUUCUUAGCUCACACAAACUUAUUUGCCGAAGAAGACACAGCGUAUAUUCUUUCUUACAGCGGAGGGAGAUUGCUGGGAUGAAUACAUUUGGAUAAUCUGAUUGUUCUUUCUUUGGUUUGAUCCAUCUUAAACAUUACAUUUGAGAUUAUUACUCUUCUCUACAGUGCCCGUAGCACUUGUGAUGCUCUAAUUUCUCAUGCUGCAGAAGUAGGACAGCUUUCUUGAAAUGUAAGGGCACUCCAGAAAGCUGAUGAAUUAGUUGAUGAGUCACUCAGGAAACAAGCAUUUAGGGCCACACAUGAGAUGUCAAUAGAAGUUCAAAAACACUAAUAUGAAAUGGAUAGGGACUGAUUCUUUGUGAUUACACAUGACAGUCAUUAU